RNAcentral lists this ribosomal RNA (1399 nucleotides) under uncultured bacterium. RNAcentral describes it as "bacterial SSU rRNA". It matches the Rfam family "Bacterial small subunit ribosomal RNA". The record is from RNAcentral.
AGAGUUUGAUCCUGGCUCAGGAUGAACGCUAGCUACAGGCUUAACACAUGCAAGUCGAGGGGCAGCAUGAACUUAGCUUGCUAAGUUUGAUGGCGACCGGCGCACGGGUGCGUAACGCGUAUCCAACUUUCCCGUUACUCAGGUAUAGCCUUGCGAAAGUAAGAUUAAUCCCUGAUGAUAUGUUAAAGUUGCAUGACUUUGACAUUAAAGAUUUAUCGGUAACGGAUAGGGAUGCGUUCCAUUAGGUAGUUGGUGAGGUAACGGCUCACCAAGCCCGCGAUGGAUAGGGGUUCUGAGAGGAAGGUCCCCCACACUGGAACUGAGACACGGUCCAGACUCCUACGGGAGGCAGCAGUGAGGAAUAUUGGUCAAUGGUCGGAAGACUGAACCAGCCAAGUAGCGUGAGGGAUGACUGCCCUAUGGGUUGUAAACCUCUUUUAUAUGGGAAUAAAAAGGUCUACGUGUAGGCCAUUGUAUGUACCUUAUGAAUAAGCAUCGGCUAAUUCCGUGCCAGCAGCCGCGGUAAUACGGAAGAUGCGAGCGUUAUCCGGAUUUAUUGGGUUUAAAGGGAGCGUAGGCGGACUUUUAAGUCAGCGGUAAAACCGUGCGGCUCAACCGUGCCCUGCCGUUGAAACUGGGAGUCUUGAGUGUACACAGGGCAGGUGGAAUUUGUGGUGUAGCGGUGAAAUGCUUAGAUAUCACGAGGAACUCCGAUCGCGAAGGCAUCCUGCCGGGGUACGACUGACGCUGAGGCUCGAAAGUGUGGGUAUCAAACAGGAUUAGAUACCCUGGUAGUCCACACGGUAAACGAUGAAUGCUCGUUGUUGGCGAUAUAAUGUCAGUGGCCAAGCGAAAGCGUUAAGCAUUCCACCUGGGGAGUACGCCGGCAACGGUGAAACUCAAAGGAAUUGACGGGGGCCCGCACAAGCGGAGGAACAUGUGGUUUAAUUCGAUGAUACGCGAGGAACCUUACCCGGGCUUGAAUUGCAGUUGCAUAAGUUAGAGAUAACUUUUCCCUUCGGGGCCACUGUGAAGGUGCUGCAUGGUUGUCGUCAGCUCGUGCCGUGAGGUGUCGGCUUAAGUGCCAUAACGAGCGCAACCCCUGUCCAUAGUUGCCAUCGGGUGAUGCCGGGCCCUCUAUGGAUACUGCCGUCGCAAGGCGUGAGGAAGGUGGGGAUGACGUCAAAUCAGCACGGCCCUUACGUCCGGGGCUACACACGUGUUACAAUGGGAGGUACAGCAGGUCGCUACCCGGUGACGGGAUGCCAAUCCGUAAAACCUCUCUCAGUUCGGACUGGAGUCUGCAACCCGACUCCACGAAGCUGGAUUCGCUAGUAAUCGCGCAUCAGCCAUGGCGCGGUGAAUACGUUCCCGGGCCUUGCACACACCGCCCGUCAAG